Molecule: long non-coding RNA, 2735 nt
Organism: Rosa rugosa (rugosa rose)
Lineage: Eukaryota; Viridiplantae; Streptophyta; Magnoliopsida; Rosales; Rosaceae
Exons: 10
Source: RefSeq, a predicted model, not a curated record
ACUAAGCCGUUUUUUAUCGGCUCCAGCCGAGCCGGAUGGUGGAAAUCAUGUUUUCGUCCUUAUUUUGUGAUAAGGACGACACCCACGUCAUUUCCUCGACUCUUCCAGACUAUCAUCACCAGCUGCAGUCCCUCUUUCGCUCUCCCAAAGCUGAACGAUACAGUCAAUUCAAUCAUCCCAAAAUCUUUUUCAGAUCCAUCAAUUGUAUCUUACCAAAACAAAAAAGAAAAAAUUAACUCUAUCCAAAUCUCUGUCCUCAAGGAAAAAAAGGGUGCAAACUGGUCGUCCUGCUGUCGGUUUUGCUCUUAGAUGGAGACGCACCGUCAAACGCAGUUUCAGGGGCAACGACAGCUUUGCUUCGGAAUCUUGAUCAUCGCAUGUCAAGCUAUUCAUCUGUUAUACGAAAGUCCAAGAUAUAGGAUGCAGAGGAAUGCUUGGAACUGUUUUCUAUGGACAGGGCGACUAAAUUUAAUUAAAUGACCCUUGCCAAUGUGAACAACUUCAAGAGGCUCUUAAAAGAGGAGGAAGAGGAUAAUAACUAUGAAGUAGACCUUCAAGUUACCUCAAAAAGAUGCGAGUUUGAUGAAGAUGAUUCAAGCUCAUCUGUGAAGAACAUUCUUCUUCUAGACUCUGAAGGGAAGCAUGUUACUCUCAUAAUUGGCCAACAAUUGCUGCAAAUCUAGCUUGAACAAUCUGUGUUCACUAAGACUCUAAUGACAAAUGCAUGGAUAGAAGCAGAGGUUAUGAUGUUCGUGUGCAACGUUGUUAUAUAUAAGUUUGUUCAGGACCUUCACUUCUUUGUGACCGGAGGUGAUGAUGAAAAUGAACUCAUUUAGCCACUGUACUUCAGGGAUUCUUUGAUGAGUUCCCCUUCUCUUGAGUUAGAGUUGGUCAUAACUCUUGCCUCUAGCUCUUUUUUACUUUCCUUAUUUAUUUUUUGAUAUAUACUUUAUGCUUUGAUGAGAUCGUUGAUGGAGGGUAUUUUAAUUUUCUUUUCAUUGUUUUAGUGUUUGAACAAGAUGUAGUACUGAGAAAGAUGAAAACCAUGUUAUUAUCUUAUUUAUGUUUGAUGAAUUCUUGAUAUAACCAACGCUUACAAAUCAAUAUAGAUGUGUCCUCCUCUACCUGUUUAUGUAUGUUUUCAUAAUCAGAUUUCUAGAUGUCAAUAUUUCUUACAGUUGUAGCAUUUUGUCUAUUGCAUAUUCCAUCGUCAUGAAACAUCAGAACUUGGAUUUUUGCCAACUGCAAAUUGGUCACUAAUAGAAAUAAUCAAAUGAGUUAUUUGACCUAUAACAUGAUAUCUAAAAAGAAGAUGAUCCAAUCAGCUAGGAAUAAUAAGAAAUACUGCGGACUCUUAUGAGGAUAGUCCAAAUAGUGGCACAAUGGAUGUUAACAUGGGUAGCCUCGGUGUUAUCACAGAUCCAUUUCACAUGGAUAGUUUUUAGCACUUUAGUUUUUUAAUUACACUGUUUAUCUACUUUUUACAGCUCUUUACAAUGAUGUUCUGUACUUUUCACAGCUCUUUCCAAUGAUUAUCUGCUGUUUGGAUUAUACCUCUUUGGAAUCACUAUUUGCUUUUUAUAUCAGAUCUGUAUUUGAUCUGCAACAUCUACUGUCUCCUUUUAAUCUUGGUGAUUAAACUAGACUAAUUGCUUUUCAAUAUAUAUCUUCUCCAUUUUUCUCACAUUCACUGAAGCUAUAGAUAGAUAGUUAUUGUCAAUUUGUGGUUCAAUUGAUAAAUUCUUUUCAAGUGUUCAGAUUUGUCAUCUAUCAAUCUGUCAGCCAGAGUUUCAAAUUGAAUUGAAGUUUGCAUAGGCUUUAGAAUUUCAUCAUCCACUGUUGAGCUUGAACCAGACCAAGCAUUACCCAUGUGACUACGUUCAUCAUCUUGGCUGGAAGGUUGAAAGACGGCGGGUUAUCUUUUUGAAGUGGAUUUCUUCUGGCUUACUUUUGAUCACUGCUACAGCUUGAUUGAUUGUUAUAAAUUGCAGACCACGAUCCAGUUAGAAAUCUGGAAUAGUGGGUUUCAUACCUUGGUUUUGGAUAAGGAAUGUCGAAGUACAAAGAGCCAAUGGAACAGAUGAGUUUUGCAGGCAAUGGAAGUCUCACUUUAUAUAUAGAGACUAAAGCCAAAGCAGCAACCAAGGCCUAUCCAUUUCCAGUGUUAUCACAGGAAUAUGGCUUUUUCCCCCGCAGCAUCGCGCGGGCUACUUUCCUAGUAUAAAUUAAAAAGAAGAUAGUAAAGGCAAAUUUGGGCCUAAUUGACUGUUUCGAGUCGAAGUCGGUUUGGGCCUGAAACCGUCGUGUGGGUCCCCAGUUUCGUCAUGCAGAGCAGAGCACCUCUAACUCGGGGGAAAACCUCCACCGCGCCGCCCAAUCACCUGUGACCAGAACAACACGGGGAAGAGUCUACUAUAUGCGAAUAGGCCGUCGCAGCAACCAUCGACCCGAUCCAGAUCCAUGCCUCUAAACAAUCCAAGACCAUUAGCAAAAGACAUCGCCAGAGGAACAACAACCUCCUACUUCGAAGCUCUAGCCCCUGACCCGACUAGAGCAGAAGUCCAGAAUUCUAGCCCCAGCAAAAUUCGCAACCAAUAACGCCAUCUCCACACACCGAUGUUCACCAAAGAACCAAUCAAACACCAUGAUCGUUGAAACAAAACUAAGAAAAGAAACAAACUUGCCAGAACCCCGAAAUAGGACCCCCAAGUAUAUGAGGGAAGAACCCGAUACAC